UCAAUGUUCAUUCUUCAUUUUCCCAUUUCUUUCCAUUUCCUCUUUGCAACACUCCACGUUCCCGACGAAGAUCCGACGCUGCUUGCCGCCCUCGAUGCCACCAUCACGACCCACGAUGUCGCCGUCGACGCCAUCGCUGCUCCGUUUGACGACGCCGCCGGCUCUCGCCGUUGUGCUUGCCGCCUCCCAACGACAAGCUGUUGCCGGGCCGCCACCCGACGCUGCUGUUGCUCCACCGUCGCUGUUUGGCCAUCGACGACGCCACUGCUGUUCAGACUUCAACGACGAGCCGCCGCAUCUCGGCUUCCCGAUGACGAGUUGCUGCUAUUCGCGCCGCAACUAGGACAGAAGCAACUACCGCCUUGACGUAGGACAAAAGCAGCUGCCGCCUCGACGUCCUUGUUGCCGAUCCUUGCCGAAUCCAGCAUUGCCCGCGUCGUGCCCAACGUUGCUCGAGGUCGCCCAACGUUGCUUCAACCCAGAACUAAACCCCAAGCUCACCGAACGUCGGUUCUGUUUGCUGUCACCGACUCACCGCCAGUGGUCGCGACUCAGCUCAACUGCGAGAUCUAGUCCAUGUAAUCGCUAGCCGAAUGAUAUGGUGAUAGAGUGGUAGGCGAGCCCUGUAAUGUUUACCAUCGACGACAGACGGAAGCUAAAAGGAAGUAUGGCGUGAAGGAGGUGCUUCAGUUGCCGUUGAGUAGCUCUUUAGUUGGAAGGAUCGAAAAUAUUGGAUUAGCAUAAAGCAAUGGAGAUAUUAUGAUUUUGGUCAAAAAGUGGUGCCACUGCUUGUUUGUCUUCCUGGCACAGCAGGAAUGGUAGAUGUCUAUUACAAGUAGGUCAUGUGUUUGGUGAUGAAGGUAGUUACUUCAGUAUCAUAGAGAUUUUUCAGCAGCAGCAAUAUGAGUAAUGAUUAGGAAUUUCUAGUUAUUUGCUAUUCAAUUAUAUCAUCUUACACUUUGACCACUUACUGGUCACUGCACAACAAACUUCUUUGGUGUUGUUAAUGUUGUUCCAAGGAUAUAGAGCAUGAGUUUUCCAUAAUUGGCCUAUUUUAAAAACUUUCAGGGUUAUUGGGUGAUUUUUGUUGAUAUUCCACUUGUUUGGAAUCAUCAUGAAUGGAUUUAGGCAUUUGAAAAGUUCUUGAAUGCUAUCAACAUUCAUCAUGUAAGUACUCCGUUGGAAUUGGAAUUACUUUAUCUAUCUGUUUGGCAUUUGUUUACAUUGUU
Molecule: long non-coding RNA, 1229 nt
Organism: Eucalyptus grandis
Lineage: Eukaryota; Viridiplantae; Streptophyta; Magnoliopsida; Myrtales; Myrtaceae
Exons: 3
Source: RefSeq, a predicted model, not a curated record